ACUCCUACGGGAGGCAGCAGUGGGGAAUAUUGGACAAUGGGCGCAAGCCUGAUCCAGCCAUACCGCGUGGGUGAAGAAGGCCUUCGGGUUGUAAAGCCCUUUUGUUGGGAAAGAAAUCCAGCUGGUUAAUACCCGGUUGGGAUGACGGUACCCAAAGAAUAAGCACCGGCUAACUUCGUGCCAGCAGCCGCGGUAAUACGAAGGGUGCAAGCGUUACUCGGAAUUACUGGGCGUAAAGCGUGCGUAGGUGGUCGUUUAAGUCUGUUGUGAAAGCCCUGGGCUCAACCUGGGAACUGCAGUGGAAACUGGACGACUAGAGUGUGGUAGAGGGUAGCGGAAUUCCUGGUGUARCAGUGAAAUGCGUAGAGAUCAGGAGGAACAUCCAUGGCGAAGGCAGCUACCUGGACCAACACUGACACUGAGGCACGAAAGCGUGGGGAGCAAACAGGAUUAGAUACCCUGGUAGUCCACGCCCUAAACGAUGCGAACUGGAUGUUGGGUGCAAUUUGGCACGCAGUAUCGAAGCUAACGCGUUAAGUUCGCCGCCUGGGGAGUACGGUCGCAAGACUGAAACUCAAAGGAAUUGACGG
RNAcentral lists this ribosomal RNA (590 nucleotides) under uncultured Stenotrophomonas bacterium. RNAcentral describes it as "bacterial SSU rRNA". It matches the Rfam family "Bacterial small subunit ribosomal RNA", at positions 335 to 916 of the family's 1533-position model. The record is from RNAcentral. Lineage: Bacteria; Pseudomonadati; Pseudomonadota; Gammaproteobacteria; Lysobacterales; Lysobacteraceae.